AGCGUACACGGUGGAUGCCCUGGCAGUCAGAGGCGAUGAAGGGCGUGCUAAUCUGCGAUAAGCGCCGGUAAGGUGAUAUGAACCGUUAUAACCGGCGAUACCCGAAUGGGGAAACCCAGUGUGACUCGUCACACUAUCAUUAACUGAAUCCAUAGGUUAAUGAGGCGAACCGGGGGAACUGAAACAUCUAAGUACCCCGAGGAAAAGAAAUCAACCGAGAUUCCCCCAGUAGCGGCGAGCGAACGGGGAGGAGCCCAGAGCCUGAAUCAGCAUGUGUGUUAGUGGAAGCGUCUGGAAAGGCGCGCGAUACAGGGUGACAGCCCCGUACACAAAAGCGCAUGUGCUGUGAGCUCGAUGAGUAGGGCGGGACACGUGGUAUCCUGUCUGAAUAUGGGGGGACCAUCCUCCAAGGCUAAAUACUCCUGACUGACCGAUAGUGAACCAGUACCGUGAGGGAAAGGCGAAAAGAACCCCGGCGAGGGGAGUGAAAAAGAACCUGAAACCGUGUACGUACAAGCAGUGGGAGCACCCUUUGGGGUGUGACUGCGUACCUUUUGUAUAAUGGGUCAGCGACUUAUAUUCUGUAGCAAGGUUAACCGAAUAGGGGAGCCGGAGGGAAACCGAGUCUUAAUUGGGCGUUAAGUUGCAGGGUAUAGACCCGAAACCCGGUGAUCUAGCCAUGGGCAGGUUGAAGGUUGGGUAACACUAACUGGAGGACCGAACCGACUAAUGUUGAAAAAUUAGCGGAUGACCUGUGGCUGGGGGUGAAAGGCCAAUCAAACCGGGAGAUAGCUGGUUCUCCCCGAAAGCUAUUUAGGUAGCGCCUCGUGAAUUCAUCUCCGGGGGUAGAGCACUGUUUCGGCUAGGGGGCCAUCCCGGCUUACCAACCCGAUGCAAACUGCGAAUACCGGAGAAUGUUAUCACGGGAGACACACGGCGGGUGCUAACGUCCGUCGUGAAGAGGGAAACAACCCAGACCGCCAGCUAAGGUCCCAAAGUCAUGGUUAAGUGGGAAACGAUGUGGGAAGGCCCAGACAGCCAGGAUGUUGGCUUAGAAGCAGCCAUCAUUUAAAGAAAGCGUAAUAGCUCACUGGUCGAGUCGGCCUGCGCGGAAGAUGUAACGGGGCUAAACCAUGCACCGAAGCUGCGGCAGCGACACUGAUGUGUUGUUGGGUAGGGGAGCGUUCUGUAAGCCUGUGAAGGUGGCCUGUGAGGGUUGCUGGAGGUAUCAGAAGUGCGAAUGCUGACAUAAGUAACGAUAAAGCGGGUGAAAAGCCCGCUCGCCGGAAGACCAAGGGUUCCUGUCCAACGUUAAUCGGGGCAGGGUGAGUCGACCCCUAAGGCGAGGCCGAAAGGCGUAGUCGAUGGGAAACGGGUUAAUAUUCCCGUACUUGGUGUUACUGCGAAGGGGGGACGGAGAAGGCUAUGUUGGCCGGGCGACGGUUGUCCCGGUUUAAGCGUGUAGGUGUGUGUUCCAGGUAAAUCCGGUUCACUUUAACACUGAGGCGUGACGACGAGGCACUACGGUGCUGAAGCAACAAAUGCCCUGCUUCCAGGAAAAGCCUCUAAGCAUCAGGUAACAUCAAAUCGUACCCCAAACCGACACAGGUGGUCAGGUAGAGAAUACCAAGGCGCUUGAGAGAACUCGGGUGAAGGAACUAGGCAAAAUGGUGCCGUAACUUCGGGAGAAGGCACGCUGACAUGUAGGUGAAGUGAUUUACUCAUGGAGCUGAAGUCAGUCGAAGAUACCAGCUGGCUGCAACUGUUUAUUAAAAACACAGCACUGUGCAAACACGAAAGUGGACGUAUACGGUGUGACGCCUGCCCGGUGCCGGAAGGUUAAUUGAUGGGGUCAGCGCAAGCGAAGCUCCUGAUCGAAGCCCCGGUAAACGGCGGCCGUAACUAUAACGGUCCUAAGGUAGCGAAAUUCCUUGUCGGGUAAGUUCCGACCUGCACGAAUGGCGUAAUGAUGGCCAGGCUGUCUCCACCCGAGACUCAGUGAAAUUGAACUCGCUGUGAAGAUGCAGUGUACCCGCGGCAAGACGGAAAGACCCCGUGAACCUUUACUAUAGCUUGACACUGAACAUUGAGCCUUGAUGUGUAGGAUAGGUGGGAGGCUUUGAAGUGUGGACGCCAGUCUGCAUGGAGCCGACCUUGAAAUACCACCCUUUAAUGUUUGAUGUUCUAACGUGGACCCGUUACCCGGGUUGCGGACAGUGUCUGGUGGGUAGUUUGACUGGGGCGGUCUCCUCCUAAAGAGUAACGGAGGAGCACGAAGGUUGGCUAAUCCUGGUCGGACAUCAGGAGGUUAGUGCAAUGGCAUAAGCCAGCUUGACUGCGAGCGUGACGGCGCGAGCAGGUGCGAAAGCAGGUCAUAGUGAUCCGGUGGUUCUGAAUGGAAGGGCCAUCGCUCAACGGAUAAAAGGUACUCCGGGGAUAACAGGCUGAUACCGCCCAAGAGUUCAUAUCGACGGCGGUGUUUGGCACCUCGAUGUCGGCUCAUCACAUCCUGGGGCUGAAGUAGGUCCCAAGGGUAUGGCUGUUCGCCAUUUAAAGUGGUACGCGAGCUGGGUUUAGAACGUCGUGAGACAGUUCGGUCCCUAUCUGCCGUGGGCGCUGGAGAACUGAGGGGGGCUGCUCCUAGUACGAGAGGACCGGAGUGGACGCAUCACUGGUGUUCGGGUUGUCAUGCCAAUGGCACUGCCCGGUAGCUAAAUGCGGAAGAGAUAAGUGCUGAAAGCAUCUAAGCACGAAACUUGCCCCGAGAUGAGUUCU
Molecule: ribosomal RNA, 2775 nt
Filed under: Salmonella enterica subsp. enterica serovar Bovismorbificans
Lineage: Bacteria; Pseudomonadati; Pseudomonadota; Gammaproteobacteria; Enterobacterales; Enterobacteriaceae
Description: bacterial LSU rRNA
Rfam family: Bacterial large subunit ribosomal RNA
Source: RNAcentral